This 257-nucleotide unclassified non-coding RNA is filed under the name uncultured fungus. RNAcentral's name for it is "sequence contains ITS1, 5.8S rRNA gene". The stretch from base 209 to 257 matches the Rfam family "5.8S ribosomal RNA", at positions 1 to 49 of the family's 154-position model. Lineage: Eukaryota; Fungi. The record is from RNAcentral.
UCUCCGUAGGUGAACCUGCGGAGGGAUCAUUAAUGAGGAAACUCGGAGCGAUCCGAGGGGCCUCCCUGGCCGCCUCGCGCGGCCAUGGGGCGCCCGUCUUCACAACCCUUUGUCUAACGUACUCGUUGCCUCGGGGGCCUCACCGCCCCCGACGGACACCCUUCAAACACUGCAUCCCUGCGUCGGAGUAUUGAAACAAAUCAAUCAAAACUUUCAACAACGGAUCUCUUGGUUCUGGCAUCGAUGAAGAACGCAGC